GACGAACGCUGGCGGCGUGCUUAACACAUGCAAGUCGAACGGAAAGGCCCUGCUUUUGUGGGGUGCUCGAGUGGCGAACGGGUGAGUAACACGUGAGUAACCUGCCCUUGACUUUGGGAUAACUUCAGGAAACUGGGGCUAAUACCGGAUAGGAGCUCCUGCUGCAUGGUGGGGGUUGGAAAGUUUCGGCGGUUGGGGAUGGACUCGCGGCUUAUCAGCUUGUUGGUGGGGUAGUGGCUUACCAAGGCCUUGACGGGUAGCCGGCCUGAGAGGGUGACCGGCCACAUUGGGACUGAGAUACGGCCCAGACUCCUACGGGAGGCAGCAGUGGGGAAUAUUGCACAAUGGGCCGAAGCCUGAUGCAGCAACGCCGCGUGCGGGAUGACGGCCUUCGGGUUGUAAACCGCUUUCGCCUGUGACGAAGCGUGAGUGACGGUAAUGGGUAAAGAAGCACCGGCUAACUACGUG
Molecule: ribosomal RNA, 468 nt
Filed under: uncultured bacterium
Lineage: Bacteria
Description: partial 16S ribosomal RNA
Rfam family: Bacterial small subunit ribosomal RNA
Source: RNAcentral